Molecule: ribosomal RNA, 670 nt
Filed under: uncultured bacterium
Lineage: Bacteria
Description: bacterial SSU rRNA
Rfam family: Bacterial small subunit ribosomal RNA
Source: RNAcentral
CGGGGAUAGCCUUUCGAAAGAAAGAUUAAUACCCGAUGUCAUAGUCCAACCGCAUGAUGGGAUUAUUAAAGAAUUUCGGUAUGGGAUGGGGAUGCGUUCCAUUAGUUAGUUGGCGGGGUAACGGCCCACCAAGACAACGAUGGAUAGGGGUUCUGAGAGGAAGGUCCCCCACAUUGGAACUGAGACACGGUCCAAACUCCUACGGGAGGCAGCAGUGAGGAAUAUUGGUCAAUGGACGAGAGUCUGAACCAGCCAAGUAGCGUGAAGGAUGACUGCCCUACGGGUUGUAAACUUCUUUUAUAUGGGAAUAAAAUGUUCCACGUGUGGGAUUUUGUAUGUACCAUAUGAAUAAGGAUCGGCUAACUCCGUGCCAGCAGCCGCGGUAAUACGGAGGAUCCGAGCGUUAUCCGGAUUUAUUGGGUUUAAAGGGAGCGUAGGUGGAUUGUUAAGUCAGUUGUGAAAGUUUGCGGCUCAACCGUAAAAUUGCAGUUGAAACUGGCAGUCUUGAGUACAGUAGAGGUGGGCGGAAUUCGUGGUGUAGCGGUGAAAUGCUUAGAUAUCACGAAGAACUCCGAUUGCGAAGGCAGCUCACUGGACUGCAACUGACACUGAGGCUCGAAAGUGUGGGUAUCAAACAGGAUUAGAUACCCUGGUAGUCCACACAGUAAAC